This is a long non-coding RNA of Tachysurus fulvidraco (yellow catfish), 5004 nucleotides long. RefSeq lists it as uncharacterized. The record is from RefSeq and is a predicted model, not a curated record. Lineage: Eukaryota; Metazoa; Chordata; Actinopteri; Siluriformes; Bagridae. The transcript has 3 exons.
AUUUUAAUAACGAACAUUGCCUCAAUGUAGCUUUAUAGUUUAUUUUAUUUUUUUUUAUUUAAGUUUUUUAAAUUUAAAAUUAAGUUCAUAUUUAUCUCAGGUAUAAGUCUGAGGUGACAGUGGUGAGGAAAACCUCCCUGAGAUGAUACGAGGAAGAAACCUUGAGAGGAACCAGACACAGAAGGGAACCUCAUCCUCAUUUAGAGACACUGGACAGAAAUAAGGAGGUGAGAAUUAUAUGCAGGGUCACAGGAGACACUCUGCAGAAAUGAGAAAGCAGCAGGACAUCCAUCUUCACUGGAGUGUGUUGAUCUGGGAUGGUUGUAAUGUACAGGAUGUAAUGCUGUUCUGAGACCUGGGACACUCAGGGGAACGUCACUGAAGUGUUCAUGUGAUACAUGUGACUGAAAAUAUCUUCACUCUUCACCUGGAAGUGUGUGACCUGGAAAUCAAUCCGAUUCCUCCGUCAUUAAGGACGUAUCGAUUCUUCCAGUGUGCUUUGAAGAAUCGGAGAGUGUGUAAAGAAGAAGCUUUCAGAGAGAAGAAUCACAGAUACGUCCUAAUGCACAACCGUUUCCUUUAAUGUAGUGUCUGAAGGCCAGGAUAGAAAUCCUAGACACUCUUUAUAUUUCAAUCCAUGUUGAUAAAAUUAACAAAAGGUGUCUUCGGAGGUCUCUGUGGGAACUGGUGUCUUUGAGGAGCAUCACUCAUGUCUCUGAGGAGGAACCUGUAGCCAAGCAAUAUGUGGCUGAAGAACAUCUGAAGGAACAGGUGUCCUUGAGGCAGGUCUCUGAACGACAUGUCUCUGAGGUACCUAUUUGAAGGCCCUGUCUCAGAGGAAUGUGUGUCUGUGGAAUGUGGGUCUGUGGAAUGUGGGUCUGUGGAAAAUACGUCUAAGGAAGGGCGGUGUGAGGAAUACAUGUCUGAGCAAAAGGUAUCAAAUGGAACAUGUUUCUGGGAAAUUGGAGCAUGUCUUUGAGGAACAGCUUUCUGAGGAAUAUCAGACUGAAGAAAAGAUCGCUGAGGAAUGGGUGUCUGAAGAACAUGUGUUUGAGGAGCAUCAGACAGGAAUAUUUGUCUGGGAAUAUUCUUCAGUCAUAUGUCUGAAGAACCUAUAUCUGAAGAGCGUGUCUGUGGAACUUGUCUAAGGAAGAGGAUGUCUGAGGGUCAUGUAUCUGAAUAUCAUGUUUGAGGAACAUGUGUCUGAAGAACAUUUCAGAAGAGCAUGUGUCUGAGUAACAUGUCUGAAGAUCAUGUAAGACUCGUGUAUCUGAGGAACAUUGGUCAAAGAAACAUCUCUGGGAAAUAUAUCAGAGGAACAUUUGUUUGAGUAUCAUGUCAGAGGAACACAUGUCUGAAGAAGGUGUCAGAGGAACAUGCGCUUGUGCAUCUUUGAGGAAAAUGCUUAAAAAAUGAUAGCUCAAGAAACCUAACAUUUCUCAUACUCAAAAAAACAUAUUUCUAAAGAACAUCACUUCCUCUCUUCAGGAACAGAGCAGGUGUCUCAGAGUAACAUACUUUCCAUUCAGGUGGCCACUUUUGGUCUUUUUCAAAUCUGUUUCUAUAACAACCAUGAGGGCCAUAAAAAAAGAUGUAGAUGAAUGAGUCAGUGUGUGUGUGUGUGUGUGUGUGUGUGUGUGUGUGUGUGUGUGUGUGUGUGUGUGCCAGGUGCAUGCUGUAAUAAGUUUUUAUAGGAAGCUGAUCCCUGGUUGUUUGAAUUUGAAGACAAUUUCACUGCAUUGCUUCAUGUUGUAAUAUGCGUGCUGGUGAUGAUUAGAGAGAAAUAUGAUUCAGAUAUGAUUCAGACGGCUCUCUUGGGGGAGCAUCAGCUGUAAUUAUCCACAACAAUCCUCUGUAUCCUGAUGGGGUUUGGAGGCAGAUCCAGAGGACUGAACUUCGCCGACUUAUUUGCAUCCACUCACACAGACGCUCUGCCCACGCAGGUUUUAACAGCGAGAUGUUCUGAGCAGUAACACGAGAGAGCGCACUCUCAGACCUCGUCUUAAUGCACGAUGACUCACCGCCACUUUCACGGCGUCCUGCUUGGCUCGCACUUCAGCAGCCAAAAUCACUGAGCUGUUUCUACAGUCCCUGCAUGUCAGACAGAACCACUCCAGUCCUGAGAAAAGUGUAACGCUUCACUGAGCACACAGGGGAUUGGACCAGGUUUACAGAACAACCUGAGGGAUGGAGGAAGAGUGUGUGGGUUUUGGGAUGGAUGAGAUUUUACAGCUAGUGAAGAAAUAAUGGAAAUAACUAAGUAACUAAGUAACUAACUAACUAACUAACUAACAAAAGAAAGAAAGAAAGAAAGAAAGAAAGAAAGAAAGAAAGAAAGAACAUCUCAAAGCUCUCAAAACCACAAAAAAGCUAAUAAAUCAAAAAGAUAAAAUAAACAAAUGUAAAUGAAAUCUACAAAAAAUAAUCAGGUUGCAUCUGAAAUCUAAAUAUUCAAAAUUCAAACGUAAAAGGGAAAAGAUUUCAAAAUGUACUUUUUUUAAUAAAGAAGACACCGACAACCCUACAUUCUAAUAACUGCACAUGAAAUCAAAUCAAAUUAAACGGAAAAGACAAAGAUUGUUCCGAAAUUAAUUGUUGUUCUUUUUCUGAAAUGAGAAAUCAGUCAAUAAAACUAACAUGAAGACUACAAACAAGCAAAGAAAAACUGAAGAAAGUAAAUUAAAAUAAAAAGUAAGAAUGCCUUUCUAUUUUUCAAAGGUAAAAGCACCAGGGGUCAUUACUUGUUGAUAUAAACAUGAAAACAAAUACAAAAAAAAUAAACUAACAAACAAUAAAUAAAUAAAGAAGACGAAAACUAAAACUAAAAAAAAACAGAAAGACUCUUGAAUUUAAAAAAAAUUCUGAGUCAUACGUUAUUGACACUAAGGCGAAAACCACAAACAUACAAGUAACCAAAAACAACAACAAAGUCUGCCAUGGAAACAAAACUAAUCAGGCUAAAUGAACAAUAAAGAAAAAAAGACAAGUGAAAUGAUAAAAUCAUUUCAAAAAUAUAAAGACUUGGUCAUUAUUUCUUGAAACUUACAAAAAAAAAAAACAAUAAUAACAAUAAUAAGUUAAUAAAAAUAAUAAUAAUAAUAAGAUAAUACAAUAUUAAUCUUCGAUCAAUUUUAACCUUGUUGUUCUUAUUAAGCCUCGUUUUUGAUCCUCUUCAGCAUGUUGGUCUGCGAUUGCUUUUCAAUGAACAAUGGUGUGGAAUGGAAUCAGUUGAACUGGUUACCCCCCCCCCCACACACACACACACCCCACCCCCACCCCCAAGACAGUUUAUUGAAGUUUAAUAUAGAAUCAUCAUCCACAGAACUUUUAAUUCAACACUGAUGAAGCUAAUGUUGCUAAGAAGUCCAUGUUUUCUAUAAACAUCUGCCUUAAGCCACAUCCAGUUCUUUAGUAAUGGUAGUGAACGUUUGGUGGCUGCCAUCUUAGACAAAAAGAAACUUUCCUGGCUAAAUUGCAUACCCAAGGGCCCGUGUGGCUGCACGCUAAUGUGAUGUUUAAUGUGCUUGUGUUUUUUGUUUUUAAUGUAGCAAAGCAUGUAUUUAUUCUGGUAUGUUGUGUUGUUUGUGGGACUUGGUAGCUUAGUGGUUAAGGUGUUGGACUACUGAUUGGAAGGUUGUGAGUUAAAAUCCCACCAAGCUGUCACUCCUUGGACACUGAGCAAGGCCCUUAACCCUCAAUUGCUCAGUUGUAUAAAUGAGAUAAACGUAAGUCGCGCUGGAUAAGAGUGUCUGCCAAAUGCCGUAAAUGUUUGUCAGUGUUUGUGGAUUUUUAGCUCUUCUCUAAUUGUAGCAGAAAAAAAAGACAGUAAACACUGUCUGAAUCCAUGUGUUAUGUAUAAAACUGUUUUUUUUUUUUUUUUUUUUACUAUUUACAGUUUAAUUAGUUCAACUUUUUGUUUGGUUUGUUUGAUCAUUAGGAUAAUUAAAAAAAUAUAUUUUAAAAUAAAAAUGUUUAUUUCCUGAUCACCGUUGCUUAAACAGAGUUUUGGCUCCACCUUGUGGUCAAGCUGCGCAGUUACACUAUUUUCUGUGAGGUUACAGCGACGCGUCAGAGUGACCGGGACUGAUAAAUAAUCCUUGUAGUUACAACGAAAUAUACUUUUCAAACAAAUAAAACAUUCAUGUGAUACUUGUUUUCUUAUAAAUGAAUUCAAGUCUGUACGUAUAGACUAUAACUAGAAAGGCAAAAUGAUCACCCAUUCUUACAGAAUGGAUUAAUCCGUUUCCAUGGAAUCACGCAGGACCUUUUUGGAAGAUCUAAUCAGAAUCGAGCAGAGAGAAGCAGGAAGUAAACACAGUCCUUAGUUCUAUCUUGUUUUUCUGUGAUAUGACGAUAAAUUAGAAUGAUGAUAUACUUUAAUAAGGAAAUCUAAAAUAUUAAGCUGCAUAUCUUGUUUUAUACUUAGAAAUAUAUACAUUUGUAGUUUCUGAAUUUAUAUAUCUAUAUAUUUCUGUAAAGCUGCUUUGUGACAAUGUUCAUUGUUAAAAGUGCUAUACAAAUGAAAUGUAAAUUAAAAUGUAUUUUCAUAUUAAAUAUCAUGUGAAAUGUCCAUGAAACACUUAAGGACUGAAUAUAUACCAGGUGCAGUAUGGUGUGUAAAUAGUGUAUAAAGUGGCACAUUGCUGUGCAAGUCCUCAAACCUGAAAGGUUUUUUGGUUUGUGUCUCUUUCUGAACCUUAAAACAGAGUAUUUCAUCAUCUCAGAUGGUUCCAAGUUUGCAGCUCAGAACCCUAAACCCAUCAUAUCGAACAGUGUAGAUAAACAUUUCCACCUGCAGAAGGAGUAAAACAUUGCAGAAGAUCAAACCUGACAAGAGAUUUGCUGCCACCUAGUGGACUAAAUAUGUAAUGCACACUCACUUUGGCGCAAUGAAGCUGUGGAGACUGUUAAAUCUUUUCUUCAUACAACUUGAACUUACUGUCAUGUUUUGGGAAGUGAGAGGAAGCCACUGAAAUACUAACUGAAGUAGCACAAAAUGGUCAA